GAUGAACGCUGGCGGCGUGCUUAACACAUGCAAGUCGAACGGAAAGGCCCUGCUUUUGUGGGGUGCUCGAGUGGCGAACGGGUGAGUAACACGUGAGUAACCUGCCCUUGACUUUGGGAUAACUUCAGGAAACUGGGGCUAAUACCGGAUAGGAGCUCCUGCUGCAUGGUGGGGGUUGGAAAGUUUCGGCGGUUGGGGAUGGACUCGCGGCUUAUCAGCUUGUUGGUGGGGUAGUGGCUUACCAAGGCUUUGACGGGUAGCCGGCCUGAGAGGGUGACCGGCCACAUUGGGACUGAGAUACGGCCCAGACUCCUACGGGAGGCAGCAGUGGGGAAUAUCGCACAAUGGGCGGAAGCCUGAUGCAGCAACGCCGCGUGCGGGAUGACGGCCUUCGGGUUGUAAACCGCUUUCGCCUGCGACGAAGCGUGAGUGACGGUAAUGGGUAAAGAAGCACCGGCUAACUACGUG
RNAcentral lists this ribosomal RNA (468 nucleotides) under uncultured bacterium. Its description in RNAcentral is "partial 16S ribosomal RNA". It matches the Rfam family "Bacterial small subunit ribosomal RNA", at positions 28 to 507 of the family's 1533-position model. The record is from RNAcentral.